Long non-coding RNA from Neofelis nebulosa (Clouded leopard), 2699 nucleotides. RefSeq lists it as uncharacterized. The transcript is spliced from 5 exons. Lineage: Eukaryota; Metazoa; Chordata; Mammalia; Carnivora; Felidae. The record is from RefSeq and is a predicted model, not a curated record.
GAUUUUAUUGAGGAAACAAAAGCCCCAUGGAGGUCAAAUUCCACCAGCAUGAAAAAGGCGACUGCUCCUUAUAAUUUCUGGAAGCUGCGGCCAGCAGUUGGAAAGACAGCGUUAGCAAUAGCAUCACCAAGCCCUGAGAAUGCAGCUGUAAAGGGACUUCGGGAUUCUACAGGACGAAAGCUUCCACUGGAAGGUGAGGGCACAAUGUCUGCUUCUUUGCAGUGAACCUGAUUUUCCUGAUCUGUACGGGCAGGCUUCCCUUCCUCACAAGGCACUUGGCAGGCUGCAAAGGAAGGAUGGCAUAAAGUCUUUUGUGCCUAGAAGAUUCUCAGUCAUGGCACCAAUAUCUUCUCGUUCUCCUGAAAGUGGAAAUCCUAAACCUACAGAGAAUCAGAGAUGUGGAAAUAAAUUCUGCUCUUAGAGGCCACGUGACUGGUGCCCAGCCACUCAGCUGCCCAGUCUGGAAGGGGAAGAGUCACUCUGCUGCUACCGGCUUAAAGUGUAAACAUGUGCCCACAGUGUUUCUACUGACAGCACCCGAGGUGCUGGGAGAACAGCCUUCGCUUGCAGGAACAGUGGCUCUCCUGGAAAAGCCAGCUUGCUUGGCUGGAGUUGAGCCAGCAGAGCUGGCUCUCGCCCUGGCAAAUUCUCUAUCACUCCAAGGUCUAGGAGACUGGGAAAACUGGCCAGCGUCAGGGGGCCUCCCUCUGUACCAGCCUCCGGGUUCUUGCUCAGGGUGCUGGUUGGUGGCCUAGAAUACAACCGGUUUGAAUUCACCUCUUUCCACCGCCUGCAUUCACAGGACAACUUACCUCUCACCUUACCGUGUUUCUAGAAGAGCACAGUUCUGAAUUCAGAAGUUACCAAGGAAUCGGUUUGGACACUAUCCAGUGUUUAUGGGCAUCUUAAAUUCUUUGUUCUCUGUGGCCUAAAUGAAUUGGAAAUUCAAACUGGACUUCAAUCAAAUUUGGCAUAAAGACCAGGACAGCAAACUUGUCCACUCUUUCCACAAAAAGAAGCAACCGCUGCUGGGGUUCAAGGAUCUGAAACCCAGGCACUGCCACCGAGAAUCUGAGGCUAAGAAGAAGUCAGGUGAGUUGGCCAGGGGAUCAGAUAUGCUGAUUGGCUGAAGAGAAUCAAGGACCAUCCCUAGAUCUGGAAGCAGGAUCAUGAUGCCAACCAAACCACAUUUGGAGGCGUUACUUUACCAGAAGAGUGAAAAAAUGCCAAGUUGCACAAACACCCAACCAGUACAGUCCACCCCCUUUAACUGCCCAAUAUCCACACCCACCUGCAUCCCCAUAAAUACACCUCAAAAAAUCCCCACUCCCUCUAUGAACUCUUUUUCCAAAAGAGACAAGCCAUGAUUUCAUGUAGUCUGGUUCUCUAGGUGAUAGACGGUCCUCGUGGAGGGAGCUGCUAUGGUCCUAUGCGGUCCAGUGAAGCUCAGUGGUAAAUUUAAUCACCACUGAUGCAUUUAGUAAACAGCAAUGGAGAACAGGGUAAUUGCACUAAAAACUCUCAUUUGGAAAAGGAAAGGACAGGAUACAACUGUCAACGGUCACCCUGUCAUAUUCUGCCAGAAAUCACAUGGAUGUCCUUCUGCGAAACAAGUACCUGUCCUCCCUAGUGCUGUCCUCCGGAAGGCUCCUCUUUGCCCUUUGCCCUCUGUGGCCCCUGCUGUCUCUUUGGGGAAAUCCCUCCUGUGUUAACCUUCACAGACCAUGAGACAUGUGCAUCAAGGGCGGUGCCCCUUUUGGGAGCUGCACUGUUCUAUCAGCUCUCUUCCUGCUGCUGUGAGUCUGGGAGCCUGGAAAUCACCAUUGUAGACUGCCGUGGAGCAGGCUUGUGGUUCCUCUGGCAAAAUGAUGCCCUUAAAAAGUGAAUGGGGUCCUGCUUUAUUGCUUCUGGCAAAUGCCAUGGAUGGUAGCAAGAGUCAGGGAUCUUACCAUGCCAUAGGCUUUCAACUAGAACUGCCUGGGGACAGCUGUGGCCUGGCAAUAGGCCCAGGUGCUCUAGCCAUCCUUUAGUAUCUGUCUUGGCCUCUACUUGAGAAUAAUCUAGAACACCGGGCUAGGUGGGGAUGACACGGAUGACCCUUUCCUCGCAAUAACAACUAAAAUGUUAGAAGCAACAUUUAUUGAUUGCUUACUAUGGGGCGGGCACUGUUCUAAAGUCUGAAUCCUCACUGUAACCCUAUGAGACAGGAACCAUUAUCAUCUCCCCUUUGCAAACACUGGUCAUGGAGCAGUAAAGAAUCUGCUGUCAUGCAGUGGGGCAGCAAUGCAAACCCAGGCAUGCUGGCUCCGUGGUCCCAGUGGAGCACUGACUGCUGUUGUGUUGUUCACUGGCUACUUCCUGUGGCAUCUUCCCAAGGGGCGUGCUGACUUCUUUGAGGCAUCAGGAGGUGCCUGGGAGAGACCCCUCCUGCUUGCUGUCUCUGUCCCUAUUAUGGAGCUUCUUCUAACUUUCUUCUUCCAAGUAACUUUCUUCUGCUAACUUUGGUUUGAGGGUAGAGAAUUGAGAUUUUCCUGGAUUCCCAGACAAUUGUAACUGUAAACCAUUGGCAAAAAGGCAACUCUUAGCAAAUCUGUAUUUUCUUCCCUUCUCUUACUGUUGGAUGGGAUCAGGUUUCGUUUAAUCGAAUCAUCCUUGGAAGACCUUGCUGAAGAAGUUACCAGCACACUCCAAAAUUUGAA